GGCAAUCUUUAAUUAAUUUCCAUGUGCAAUUCUUUAUGCUUCAAAGUAAGAUGAGUUAUAUUGGCAUAGCACCUCUUCAUGCUUCAUACUGAUCGGGCUUCCAAAUAUAUACUUCGCCAGGUUUCUAUUUUUUUGUGUUCUAUUGUUCUUCUUUUGAACACCAUUUUGAUCAAAAUACAAACAGUGUAUGAUGUGACAGACCAAUUUGUUGCUUCAUGUAAGCCAUGUUUUAUACUUUUGUGCCACAUUUGUUUCCAAUGGUAUUGAAUUUUUCUCUUCGUCUCAAUUGUAUAUGCUUCCAUUGCCUAUCACAUAUGUUUUGAUCAUUGAAACAGCUGGUCCAUCUAAGCUAUGGUUCCUACUUUAACAUUUCACAUAUGUUUGUAUAGCAAUGCUUUUCUUUCAUCCCAGUUUUCUGUGCUUCCAGUACCUAUCAUAUAUAUUCUGAUAGAUUAAUUUGUUGCUUCGUGUAAUCCAUGCUUAUUUCAUUUCUUGUGUUUCCAAUAUGUAUUAUUUAUGUUUUGAUACUCUUAAUUUCUCAUUGUGCUUCUAUUUUAUAGAUGUUUUGCGCCAAACGACGACAACCAUGCAUCCUUAGUUUCUCAGAUGCCUUGCACUGACGUCUCCCCACAAUGUCGUUGUGGUGUGUCGACAUGUUGUGGUUAAUAGCUGGCGACAACAUCCCCGUUGCUUGCUGCCAUCAUGCCAAUUUUCCUUCGGCAAUAUUUCGCCUAAGUGUUCCCUAUUAUGCUAGUGCAACCCAAGACAUUACCCCCCCGUUUCAAAAAAACCCAAGACAUUACCCUUGCUUCCCAGCAGACUUCGGUGUUGACCAUGUAAUUUUUUUUGUUAUAAUGUAAAUAAUUUUUGUUGUUGUAACUAUAUUAAGCUUUUGUUGCAUGGGAGCAAAUUCCUUUCUCUUCCAUAGCAAACUUUCAUGGGUUGGAAGCAAUGUACAAUCAAAUUCAUGUUUCAGCGGAAAUAAAUGUAUAUGUUAUCAUUAGAAGCAAAAUCGCGUUGCA
RNAcentral lists this long non-coding RNA (1022 nucleotides) under Triticum aestivum (bread wheat). RNAcentral's name for it is "long non-coding RNA (TAES_LNC005374)". Lineage: Eukaryota; Viridiplantae; Streptophyta; Magnoliopsida; Poales; Poaceae. The record is from RNAcentral.